AGGACGAACGCUGGCGGCGUGCCUAAUACAUGCAAGUCGAACGCUUCUUUUUCCACCGGAGCUUGCUCCACCGGAAAAAGAGGAGUGGCGAACGGGUGAGUAACACGUGGGUAACCUGCCCAUCAGAAGGGGAUAACACUUGGAAACAGGUGCUAAUACCGUAUAACAAUCGAAACCGCAUGGUUUUGAUUUGAAAGGCGCUUUCGGGUGUCGCUGAUGGAUGGACCCGCGGUGCAUUAGCUAGUUGGUGAGGUAACGGCUCACCAAGGCGACGAUGCAUAGCCGACCUGAGAGGGUGAUCGGCCACAUUGGGACUGAGACACGGCCCAAACUCCUACGGGAGGCAGCAGUAGGGAAUCUUCGGCAAUGGACGAAAGUCUGACCGAGCAACGCCGCGUGAGUGAAGAAGGUUUUCGGAUCGUAAAACUCUGUUGUUAGAGAAGAACAAGGAUGAGAGUAACUGUUCAUCCCUUGACGGUAUCUAACCAGAAAGCCACGGCUAACUACGUGCCAGCAGCCGCGGUAAUACGUAGGUGGCAAGCGUUGUCCGGAUUUAUUGGGCGUAAAGCGAGCGCAGGCGGUUUCUUAAGUCUGAUGUGAAAGCCCCCGGCUCAACCGGGGAGGGUCAUUGGAAACUGGGAGACUUGAGUGCAGAAGAGGAGAGUGGAAUUCCAUGUGUAGCGGUGAAAUGCGUAGAUAUAUGGAGGAACACCAGUGGCGAAGGCGGCUCUCUGGUCUGUAACUGACGCUGAGGCUCGAAAGCGUGGGGAGCAAACAGGAUUAGAUACCCUGGUAGUCCACGCCGUAAACGAUGAGUGCUAAGUGUUGGAGGGUUUCCGCCCUUCAGUGCUGCAGCUAACGCAUUAAGCACUCCGCCUGGGGAGUACGACCGCAAGGUUGAAACUCAAAGGAAUUGACGGGGGCCCGCACAAGCGGUGGAGCAUGUGGUUUAAUUCGAAGCAACGCGAAGAACCUUACCAGGUCUUGACAUCCUUUGACCACUCUAGAGAUAGAGCUUCCCCUUCGGGGGCAAAGUGACAGGUGGUGCAUGGUUGUCGUCAGCUCGUGUCGUGAGAUGUUGGGUUAAGUCCCGCAACGAGCGCAACCCUUAUUGUUAGUUGCCAUCAUUUAGUUGGGCACUCUAGCAAGACUGCCGGUGACAAACCGGAGGAAGGUGGGGAUGACGUCAAAUCAUCAUGCCCCUUAUGACCUGGGCUACACACGUGCUACAAUGGGAAGUACAACGAGUCGCAAAGUCGCGAGGCUAAGCUAAUCUCUUAAAGCUUCUCUCAGUUCGGAUUGUAGGCUGCAACUCGCCUACAUGAAGCCGGAAUCGCUAGUAAUCGCGGAUCAGCACGCCGCGGUGAAUACGUUCCCGGGCCUUGUACACACCGCCCGUCACACCACGAGAGUUUGUAACACCCGAAGUCGGUGAGGUAACCUUUUGGAGCCAGCCGCCUAAGGUGGGAUAGAUGAUUGGGGUGA
RNAcentral lists this ribosomal RNA (1485 nucleotides) under Enterococcus sp. Its description in RNAcentral is "bacterial SSU rRNA". It matches the Rfam family "Bacterial small subunit ribosomal RNA". The record is from RNAcentral. Lineage: Bacteria; Bacillati; Bacillota; Bacilli; Lactobacillales; Enterococcaceae.